This is a long non-coding RNA of Brassica napus (rape), 1264 nucleotides long. RefSeq lists it as uncharacterized. Lineage: Eukaryota; Viridiplantae; Streptophyta; Magnoliopsida; Brassicales; Brassicaceae. The record is from RefSeq and is a predicted model, not a curated record. The transcript is spliced from 2 exons.
UAAUCACAAUACUAAAAGCCAAAUAUGGUGCAAGGAGAAGCAUGCCACGUCAAUUAAAAUAAUCCACCAAUCAGAAGUUUUCUUUUUGACAUGUCAUUGUUUCUUCUGUCAAAAUGAAAACUAGUGGGUUCGUAUGGGCUGAAUCUAUUUGUAGUAGCCCAAAUUGACACACUAUAGAACUCGAACAUACUUCGUCUUCUCCGUGUCAGCUUCAUGAAAUUUCCGUUAUCGACCCAUCUCUUAACAAUUAAUUAUAUUCAUUACUAUCGACUUUAUGAGUUCGUUUCGCUUUACUUUGUUUCUCCAUCUGUAUAAAACCUCCGGCUAUACUUUAAUCCACCCAGAAACACUAACCUCCAUUGAAGAAGCUGGAGCUAUGGCAAUGAAACCCAACGGAAAGUCUCCCCUCUCCACCGGAAACUCUGGCUUUGUAUUACUGUAGAUCAGUGCCGGAAUGGUCGUCUACUAGAUCACAAGAUGAGACCUUCAAAUAUUUGGAGCCAGAGCUCUAUGGUGACAACGGAGAUGCCAUGGAAAUAACGGGAUAAUGAAAUUCUUCUUUCAUUUCUUCUCCUGAAACAUUUUCAAAGAAGAAACAACUAUAAAAGCGUAGUUUUUGGAAUUUCAGAUCCUUAAGGUAAUUGAUUUGUCAGCCAAAUGGAUUUCAUAGCUUCCAAUGAAUAGUUGUCCUAAACACAAAUUUAUGGAUGUCAAUUGUGAAGAGGCUCUUUUAUUCAGUUUGCUUACUUACUUCUAUAACAGGUUGAGCGAAGCUCACUGGACAUCCUACUGUGUUCUCAGUGCACCACUGCUUAGUUGAAGUCAAAGUUUUCCCCUAACAUUUUUCCUCUAUUCUUAUAGUGACUGCUAUCAACAUGGGAUUGAGUAACUCUUUUCAAAUAUUCGAUGGUUAGUCUCUGCUGAUUUUUCCACUACAUAGUCUCAUAUUAAAUAUUACGUUUGCUAUUCUAAUCGUGUACUUCAGACAUUAGCUUCGUAUAGAUCUUAGCAUCCUAAUACCUACUAAGAGUUGUGAAGCUUCUUCUACAUCUACACUAAUGCAUGUGAUUGUUUAUCGUCGUUUGUAGAUUAUGGCUCUUUCAAGUGAUUUCCCUGGAGUGUAUACAGAAGCUAUUAUAAUAAGAGGCCUAUAAAGAAUAUAAAAGUACAGAACUUAUUGUUGUAUGUCUUUGGGAUGGCUUUUAGUGUUGUUGCUAUAGUGAUCCAGAUUUCGAUGCCAUCGCAAAUAAGUUAAGACAAAACU